AGCAAUAGGCAAAUUGUUAGGCAAAUGAGCAACACAAGCAAAUGGGCACAUAUAUCACGUGCCAAAGAAUCAAUCUUCUUUUCAAGCAAAUUCACUUAUAAGUAAUUUUCAAAUUGGUAGCAAAUUUUUUAUUUAUCUUCAAACUACCUAUGAUGCAUUUCAUUCCUUUGAAAUUCAUGCUCAAUAUUUCAUAUAUAUGCUUUUGCUCAAGUAUUUUGUCAUCAUCAAAAAGGGAGAGAUUGUUGCUCCUUGGAUUGAUUUUGAUGAUUACAAAGCAUUUGAAGGGGUACUAAUGAUUUUCGCUUGAAAAAGACUUAUUGCUUUUCAGAGACAAAAUCAUAAUUUUA
Molecule: long non-coding RNA, 347 nt
Filed under: Elaeis guineensis (African oil palm)
Lineage: Eukaryota; Viridiplantae; Streptophyta; Magnoliopsida; Arecales; Arecaceae
Description: long non-coding RNA (EGUI_LNC051447)
Source: RNAcentral